AUUGAACGCUGGCGGCAUGCUUUACACAUGCAAGUCGAACGGUAACAGGGAGCUUGCUCCGCUGACGAGUGGCGAACGGGUGAGUAAUGCGUCGGAACGUGCCGAGUAGUGGGGGGAUAACGCAUCGAAAGGUGUGCUAACACCGCAUACGAACUGAGGUUGAAAGUGGGGGACCUUCGGGCCUCACGCUAUUCGAGCGGCCGACGUCUGAUUAGCUAGUUGGUGAGGUAAAGGCUCACCAAGGCGACGAUCAGUAGCGGGUCUGAGAGGAUGAUCCGCCACACUGGGACUGAGACACGGCCCAGACUCCUACGGGAGGCAGCAGUGGGGAAUUUUGGACAAUGGGCGCAAGCCUGAUCCAGCCAUGCCGCGUGUCUGAAGAAGGCCU
Molecule: ribosomal RNA, 388 nt
Filed under: uncultured bacterium
Lineage: Bacteria
Description: bacterial SSU rRNA
Rfam family: Bacterial small subunit ribosomal RNA
Source: RNAcentral